UACAUCUGGUAAAAUUGGAAAUUUGGAACGAUACAAAGAAAAUUAGCAUGGCCUCUCCUCAAGGUUGACACGCACAAAUUAAAUCGAGAAAUGGUUCAGAGUUUU
Molecule: non-coding RNA, 105 nt
Organism: Beta vulgaris subsp. vulgaris (sugar beet)
Lineage: Eukaryota; Viridiplantae; Streptophyta; Magnoliopsida; Caryophyllales; Amaranthaceae
Source: Rfam